GAUUAACGCUGGCGGCGUGCCUAAUGCAUGCAAGUCGAACGGGGUCCCUUCGGGGGUACCCGUGGCGGACGGGUGAGGAGCACGUGGGGAACCUGCCCACCGGUGGGGGGUAGCCCGCGG
This 120-nucleotide ribosomal RNA is filed under the name uncultured bacterium. Its description in RNAcentral is "partial 16S ribosomal RNA". It matches the Rfam family "Bacterial small subunit ribosomal RNA", at positions 28 to 153 of the family's 1533-position model. The record is from RNAcentral.